Molecule: ribosomal RNA, 497 nt
Filed under: uncultured bacterium
Lineage: Bacteria
Description: partial 16S ribosomal RNA
Rfam family: Bacterial small subunit ribosomal RNA
Source: RNAcentral
GAUGAACGCUGGCGGCGUGCCUAAUACAUGCAAGUCGAGCGAACAGAUGAGGAGCUUGCUCCUCUGACGUUAGCGGCGGACGGGUGAGUAACACGUGGAUAACCUACCUAUAAGACUGGGAUAACUUCGGGAAACCGGAGCUAAUACCGGAUAAUAUAUUGAACCGCAUGGUUCAAUAGUGAAAGACGGUUUUGCUGUCACUUAUAGAUGGAUCCGCGCCGCAUUAGCUAGUUGGUAAGGUAACGGCUUACCAAGGCAACGAUGCGCAGCCGACCUGAGAGGGUGAUCGGCCACACUGGAACUGAGACACGGUCCAGACUCCUACGGGAGGCAGCAGUAGGGAAUCUUCCGCAAUGGGCGAAAGCCUGACGGAGCAACGCCGCGUGAGUGAUGAAGGUCUUCGGAUCGUAAAACUCUGUUAUUAGGGAAGAACAAAUGUGUAAGUAACUAUGCACGUCUUGACGGUACCUAAUCAGAAAGCCACGGCUAACUACGUG